RNAcentral lists this long non-coding RNA (1096 nucleotides) under Rosa chinensis. RNAcentral's name for it is "sRNA RchiOBHm_Chr5g0007911". Lineage: Eukaryota; Viridiplantae; Streptophyta; Magnoliopsida; Rosales; Rosaceae. The record is from RNAcentral.
CGCUGUGUCGCCUCUGCCGAAGACGGCUCUGGCCGGUCGGACGAUGGCUCUGCACACGACGGCUCCGCCCCUUCUCACGACAGCUCCGCCCUGUCCGAUGGCUCUGCCCACGAAGGCUCCGCCCUGUCCGAUGGCUCUGCCCACGACAACAUAUCCGAUGGCACUGCCAACUCCAAAGACUCCUCUGGCCACGACGGCUCCGCUCGCUCUGACAGCGAUCGCGGCGUGUCUCCCAAUUAGAAGCAGAGUGGCAAGCAAGGUAACCGAACCACUAAGGACCCAUGAAGCAGUUGUGCAGAGGCAGGCAACAACAACACCACCCAGAAUCGAAACCAGAGCGGCUACUCCGGCGGCUGUCAGUCCCCAAACGGUUGCCGCCCCUCCUCCGGUAUCAGCAGCGCCACCAUGACCGUCGAAUAUGCUGAAUAGCUCAAAACAGGCCAGAAACCGGAAUGUACCGGGAAACCACUUGUAGAGUACAACCAUACAUCCUACAAGAAUUAGUGGCAUAGCGUAUUUGGACCAUGGGUAUUUGGACCAAGAUUCUGUGAAUGGGUACUGAGGGGAGCAGACCUUAGUGCUACACGUCCCGAAAUUGGAACCCAGAAUGUGUGGCGAAGGAGGUGCUGUGGUAGUUGGAGGCGGAGGCGGAGGCGGAGGAAGCGGUGAGGUGGUUGGGGGUGAGGCGGCGGCGGAAGCAGUGACGGUGGUGGUGAUGCGGAGGAACCAGAGAGAUGAAGGGAUUGACAGCCGCCAGAGUAGCCGCUCUGGUUUCGAUUCUGGGUGGUGUUGUUGUUGCCUGCCUCCGUACAACUGCUUCAUGGGUCCUUAGUGGUUCGGUUACCUUGCUCGCCACUCUGCUUCUAAUUGGGAGACACGCCGCGAUCGCCGUCAGAGAGGGCGGAGCCGUCGUGGCCAGAGGAGUCUUUAGAGUUGGGAGUGCCAUCGGACAUAGCGGAGCCGUCGUGGGCAGAGCCAUCGGAAAUGGCGGAGACGUCGUGGGCAGAGCCAUCGGCCAGGGCGGAGCCGUCGUGGGCAGGGGCGGAGCCGUUGUUCGUGGGCAGGGGCAUCGUCCAACCGGCCAGAGCCGUCUUCG